AAUGAAGUGCCUGAACUAAAGGAUUAUCUUGAUAGGGUAAAUAAUGUAUUUAUUAUACCUUCAUUA
This 66-nucleotide transfer RNA is filed under the name Nymphes myrmeleonoides. RNAcentral describes it as "tRNA-Ile". Lineage: Eukaryota; Metazoa; Arthropoda; Insecta; Neuroptera; Nymphidae. The record is from RNAcentral.